CAGCAGCCGCGGUAAUACGUAGGGGGCGAGCGUUUUCCGGAAUUAUUGGGCGUAAAGCGCGCGCAGGGCGUCCCUUAAGUCUGAUGUGAAAGCCCACGGCUUAACCCUGGGAGGUCAUUUGGAACUGGGGGACUUGAGUGCAGAANAGGAGAGCUGANNUNCACGUGUAGNGCUGAAAUGCGUAGAGAUGUGGAGGAACACCAGUGNCGAAGGCGGCUCUCUGGUCUGUAACUGACGCUGAGGCGCNAAAGCGUGGGGAGCAAACAGGAUUAGAUACCCUGGUAGUCCACGCCGUAAACGAUGAGUNCUCAAURUUAKAGGGGUUACUCCCUUUAGUYCUUAAUCUAACGCGUUAAGCACUUCGCCUGGGGAGUACGGCCGCAAGGCUGAAACUCAAAGGAAUUGACG
Molecule: ribosomal RNA, 408 nt
Filed under: Geobacillus sp. DDS001
Lineage: Bacteria; Bacillati; Bacillota; Bacilli; Caryophanales; Anoxybacillaceae
Description: partial 16S ribosomal RNA
Rfam family: Bacterial small subunit ribosomal RNA
Source: RNAcentral